GUGCACCAGGCGCGAAACCUUUACAAUGUCUUCACGGACGAUAGGGGAAUCCUGAGUGCUCUAGCAUUGCUAGAGCUUUUGCUUACUGAAAAAAGGUAGGCGAAUAAGUGGUGGGUAAGACGGGUGCCAGCCGCCGCGGUAAUACCCGCGCCACAAGUGGUGACCACGUUUUAUUGGGGUCUAAAGCGUUCGUAGCCGGCCUGAUAAAAUUCUCGGUGAAAUCCUGUGCAAAUCAUAGGGCUGCCGGGAAGACUGUCAAGCUAGGAACCGGGAGAGGCUGAGGGUACUCCAGGAGUAGGGGUUAAAAUGCC
Molecule: ribosomal RNA, 311 nt
Filed under: uncultured microorganism
Description: bacterial SSU rRNA
Rfam family: Archaeal small subunit ribosomal RNA
Source: RNAcentral